Bos taurus (domestic cattle) is the source of this 2082-nucleotide long non-coding RNA. Lineage: Eukaryota; Metazoa; Chordata; Mammalia; Artiodactyla; Bovidae. The record is from Ensembl.
CAGGUGGCUAGGUCGGGGCCCGGCGCUUGGUGGGUGCAGAAGGGGUGGGGGGGCGGCGGAGGACACACAGAGGGAAUCAGUGUCACAGAAUGCUUACCCCUGCGCAGGCGCCAUCGUGCAGAGCGCCGGCAGCCAUUUUGGGUGCGGGCAAGCUGCCCUUUCCUGACUUCCUAGCGAGUCAUCGAGCUGUGGGGUGGGGGGAAAGACGUCCUCCUGCACUCCGCCGUUCCUGAGACAGCGCUCCGAGCAAGGGGCAGGUGCUCCUCAGCCCAGUAAGAUUAACGUUCAGCUCGGGACCGUCUUAACUCUCUUGUUGUCCAAGUAAAAUUUGCAAAGGUUUUGAGGUACGGAACUGUAUCUUCACCAGAAACCUACUGGAGAGCACUUAUUAGCUUGCCCUUUUCGCCACGAAAAACGACUUUUUCGUUCACAGUCUAAGUCCCUUCCUCUUUUUUAAUUUACGCUGACAGAAGAGGAAGUUGAUAUAUAAGAAGAGUUAAAUCAAAUUUAAAAUGGGAAGCAAGAGGGAAAGCACCCGCCGAACUGAAAACCGUCUUUGAGACCAACAAUAACAAAAAUUUUGGGGAUUCUGCUAACAGAUUGACACGGUGGUCGUUUAUUCAUAUAUGCUGCGUAAGACUAUUCGAUUAAAAACACCAGCCACUGUAAAAACCAGACUGCAAGACUGCGGGGAUUAUUAUCGUCUGGGAUGAUGAGCCUGGGAUCCUAUCCGGCAAUCGUGAGCGCUACCGGCUGCUCCUUCUUACUUUCGCCAAACCUGAACGGGCAAUUUGAAUAAUUUAAAAUAGUUCCAAAACAGCAAAGCUCAGCAGCUACGCAAAGAAACAAGGAUGGAAAACACCUUCCUCAGCCACAGAGAAGUGUCCACCCUUUUGAGUGGAGGAAUUACACAAAUCAGGGGGAAGAUAAGGACAAAAGCAGUUCAUCACGGUUUAUCCCGCCUCUGCAAUGUUCUAGACGACUUAACUUGGAGCGCUAAAAUAGACCCUCAUUUGUCUCUUUACAACUCAAUGGCUGUAAGAUAUACGGAGACUGCAUCACUUUAAAUUGGAGUAUCAAUUGUUUUGCAAUGGUGGUGCUGGAUUUUUGUUAUUGCUCAGUCACUAAAGCAAGAAAAAUCUAUACAGCUUGUCAAAUUUAUCCCUAUUGUAUUUCGCCCCCUGCUGGUAUGGGAGCUUGUUGUUCGUGCUCAAUCUCUCAGCAGAGUCCGACUCUUUGCAACCCCGUGUACUAUAUAGCCCACCCGACUCCUCUGUCCGUGGGAUUUCCCAGGCAAGAAUACUGGAGCAGGUUAACAUUUGCUUCUCCAGGGGAUCCUCCCUAUCUAGGGAUUGAACCAGUGUCUCUUGCAUUGGCAGGCGGGUUCUUUACCACUGAGCCGCCAGGGAAACCAUGUGUGUAUAUGUAUAUGUAUGUGUAUAUGUAUAUGUAUAUGUAUAUGUGUAUGUAUAUCACUAUAAAUGUUUAUUGACUGGGAAGGAAACAAAACUAUUUGCAUUUGUAUGUAUGUGUUCAGAGACUGGAAAUGAAUUGAUUUUAGAUGUAUUCAUAGCUGUUGCAAUUUGCUAGUUCAACUGAACAGAAAUAGCAGAAGAAGAACAUAUGACAAAAAGCAGACCCAUCAUCAAGAAAAUGUUUAAAACGAAAUAAUAAAUUUAAACAUCAAAACUUUAAAAAGAAAACUCUGCUUUCAAAAAAAUCUUCCUUAUUUCAUACAUAAAGUAUUACAGAAUGAUUUUUGUGAGGUAACUGCAGAAGCCAGUUCUAUUCACUUAAGGACAACAAUAGAGAAGUCAGUGUCCAACAUUGUGUAGAGCUGUUGAGUCCCUGUUUGGCCAGCUGACUUGAGAGCAAUCAACCAACUUGUAAUUGGUAAUGUUACACAUAAUUUUGGAGGCAGCAUUCCAAUGCUUAUGAAAUUGUAUUACAAAAAGAAAAUACCUCUGAAUAUUUUUAAGAUGAAUGGAGGAGGAAGAAUUAUUAAAAACCAUUGCAUUUGGAUCCAGUGAUCGUUUUUAUUUACUUUUUAAAAGUUAAGGCCAUAAUUACUUAAGAUUUUGC